Molecule: ribosomal RNA, 237 nt
Filed under: Triticum aestivum (bread wheat)
Lineage: Eukaryota; Viridiplantae; Streptophyta; Magnoliopsida; Poales; Poaceae
Description: partial small subunit ribosomal RNA
Source: RNAcentral
AUGCGGGUGAUUGCAUAUGGCGUUCCGGCUGACUAUACCGAUGAGUAUCUUCGCAUUGGUGAAGAUAGCACUAUUGAGUAUGUGCAUAGAUUUGCGAAAGUAAUCAUCCGUGUCUUCGGUGCUGAGUAUCUUCGGGCACCCAAUGAAGAUGACACAAAGAAACUGUUGGCAUCUAAUGAGAGGAGAGGUUGGCCUGGCAUGCUAGGUAGCAUGAUUGUAUGCAUUGGAGCUUGCUAG